AAGGUGAAACCGCGAAAGGCUCAUUAAAUCAGUUAUGGUUCCUUAGGUCGUACCCACAAUUACUUGGAUAACUGUGGUAAUUCUAGAGCUAAUACAUGCAAACUGAGCUCCGACCGGAGACGGAAGGAGUGCUUUUAUUAGAUCAAAACCAAUCGGUGGCGGGUUCGCCCGUUAUCGUACAACUUGGUGACUCUGAAUAACUUUACGCUGAUCGCACGGUCAUCGCACCGGCGACGCAUCUUUCAAAUGUCUGCCUUAUCAACUGUCGAUGGUAGGUUCUGCGCCUACCAUGGUUGUAACGGGUAACGGGGAAUCAGGGUUCGAUUCCGGAGAGGGAGCCUGAGAAACGGCUACCACAUCCAAGGAAGGCAGCAGGCGCGCAAAUUACCCACUCCCGGCACGGGGAGGUAGUGACGAAAAAUAACGAUACGGGACUCAUCCGAGGCCCCGUAAUCGGAAUGAGUACACUCUAAACCCUUUAACGAGGAUCA
This 491-nucleotide ribosomal RNA is filed under the name Trigonopterus pseudinsignis. RNAcentral describes it as "SSU rRNA". It matches the Rfam family "Eukaryotic small subunit ribosomal RNA", at positions 78 to 546 of the family's 1831-position model. Lineage: Eukaryota; Metazoa; Arthropoda; Insecta; Coleoptera; Curculionidae. The record is from RNAcentral.